This 90-nucleotide small nucleolar RNA is filed under the name Pongo abelii (Sumatran orangutan). Its description in RNAcentral is "Small nucleolar RNA SNORA17 (ENSPPYG00000038981.1)". It matches the Rfam family "Small nucleolar RNA SNORA17", at positions 42 to 132 of the family's 132-position model. From Rfam's summary of the family: snoRNA ACA 17 belongs to the H/ACA family of snoRNAs and is predicted to guide pseudouridylation of the 28S rRNA at positions U4659 and U4598. It shares the same host gene together with ACA43. Lineage: Eukaryota; Metazoa; Chordata; Mammalia; Primates; Hominidae. The record is from RNAcentral.
UGUGCCUUAUAGUAAGGACAGAAAAGAUAAUUUUUAUUUUUUUUCAAUGGUCUGGCAUGUGGCCACCUGAAAGAUAAAAGUAUUUAAACA